AGCUACAGAACUUUUCAAUCGAAUUCAUAAAAAAUGUCCUUCAAAUCAUGUGCCAGGCCCUUCAACUAGCUUGCUCUUCUUGGUCCGUGUAACUAAUAUAAAGAAUUGAUGAGAAAACAAAGCAAAUGCAUUAAUCUCCAAAUCACAGACUCAUGGAUGCUCUGUUCAGUUCUAAAAAAACCACAACAUUCAAGUCUCUAAAUGGUAGCAGCACAUACAGCGGAAUUAACAAGAUAUAGGUGAAGCAGAAAAUGAAAAACUUAAGCUAGAUACAAAUUAGAGUCCAAAAAUCAAAGCUUUAGACAAAACAAAGUCGAAAAUACAAGAUCUGAGCGCUGAACCAAACUGAAACUCAGCCUUUGAGAUAACUAGAGUAAAGUAAGGCGGUGGCAGUGGCGAUAGAGGAGUUGCAGAUUCUGGGGACUCUGAAGAUGGUGAUGGUGAAAGCGGCGAUGGAGAAGAUGGCGAGGGUGGGGAUGUUAAUGGCAGAAGCGGUGCAGGCGAAUAUGGUGGGGAGAGAGAGAAGGUAAA
Molecule: long non-coding RNA, 531 nt
Filed under: Jatropha curcas
Lineage: Eukaryota; Viridiplantae; Streptophyta; Magnoliopsida; Malpighiales; Euphorbiaceae
Description: long non-coding RNA (JCUR_LNC002108)
Source: RNAcentral